UACGUAGGGGGCAAGCGUUGUCCGGCUUUAUUGGGCGUAAAGAGCGUGUAGGCGGCCAUACAGGUCAGCUGUGAAAACUCGAGGCUCAACCUCGAGACGUCGGUUGAAACCGUAUGGCUAGAGUCCGGAAGAGGAGAGUGGAAUUCCCGGUGUAGCGGUGAAAUGCGCAGAUAUCGGGAAGAACACCCGUGGCGAAGGCGGCUCUCUGGGACGGUACUGACGCUGAGACGCGAAAGCGUGGGGAGCGAACAGG
RNAcentral lists this ribosomal RNA (253 nucleotides) under uncultured bacterium. RNAcentral describes it as "partial 16S ribosomal RNA". It matches the Rfam family "Bacterial small subunit ribosomal RNA", at positions 524 to 776 of the family's 1533-position model. The record is from RNAcentral.